AUGGUGACCAAGCUCGCAGCGAUCAUCGUCUUGGCCGCUUUCCUGGCCGGGCCGGCGGCGUGCGAGGGCGCAAGCAUUUGCUUCAACGGUUGGAUGAGGUUACCCACCUUCAACCCGCGGCUCUGUCCUCGCGGCCCCAGGGUGAACCGCCGGCAGCGGGGGGCUUCUCCCACGGGGUCAGGACUCAGCUACGGCUACUACGACAACAGGAGGUCGACGUCUUACUGCCCCAGGGCGGAAGGGAUCGUGAGGGGUGCCGUGAGGGACGCCGUGGCCGCCAACCCUGGCAUUGGUGCGGGCCUCAUCCGUCUCUUUUUCCACGACUGCUUCGUUCGGGGGUGCGAUGCUUCCGUCCUCCUCACCACGACCAACUCCAAGAACAGCGACACGGAGCGGGAAGGCCCUCCCAACAAGAACAGCCUACGAGGGUUCGAGGUGAUCGACGCGGCCAAGGCGGCGAUCGAGGCCGCCUGCCCCAGCAGAGUCUCAUGCGCCGACAUCGUCGCCUUCGCCGCCCGCGACGCGUCCUACUUCCUCAGCAACCACAGGAUCAACGUCCCGAUGCCGGGCGGCCGCUACGACGGGCGCGAGUCCUUCGCCAACGAGACCGACCAGCUGCCCGGGCCCUUCUCCAACGUCACGGAGCUCCAGGCGAGUUUCGCGGCCAAGGGGCUCACCUCUGACGAGAUGGUCACACUCUCAGGCGCGCACACCAUCGGCCGCGCCCGCUGCUUGUUUUUCUCCAGCCGCUUCUCUGAGAUGGACCCGGCAUUUGCCGCCAAGCUCAGGGCCCAGUGCAACGGCAACGACAACACCAACGUGAACCAAGACCAAGUGACCCCCGAUGUCCUGGACAAGCAGUACUACCGGAACGUGAUCGACAGGAAAGUGCUCUUCACCUCGGACGCCGUGCUCAACUCGACGGAAACGAUGACGCAGGUGACUGAAAACGCGAACAGGGCAGGGGCGUGGGAGAGGAAGUUCGAGAGAGCCAUGGAGAAUAUGGGAAAAAUCGGGAUCAAGACCAGAGGCGACCAAGGCGCAGAGAUCAGGAAGGUAUGCUCGAGAGUUAACAACUAG
RNAcentral lists this ribosomal RNA (1080 nucleotides) under Triticum aestivum (bread wheat). RNAcentral's name for it is "partial small subunit ribosomal RNA". The record is from RNAcentral. Lineage: Eukaryota; Viridiplantae; Streptophyta; Magnoliopsida; Poales; Poaceae.